Molecule: ribosomal RNA, 253 nt
Filed under: uncultured bacterium
Lineage: Bacteria
Description: partial 16S ribosomal RNA
Rfam family: Bacterial small subunit ribosomal RNA
Source: RNAcentral
UACGAAGGGGGCUAGCGUUGUUCGGAAUUACUGGGCGUAAAGCGAACGUAGGCGGUGUUCCAUGUCAGAGGUGAAAGCCUGGGGCUCAACUCCAGAAUUGCCUUUGAAACGGGAACGCUUGAGUCCGAGAGAGGAUGGCGGAAUUCCUAGUGUAGAGGUGAAAUUCGUAGAUAUUCGCAAGAACACCAGUGGCGAAGGCGGCUCACUGGCCCGGUACUGACGCUGAGGUGCGAAAGCGUGGGGAGCAAACAGG